AUGAAAUUCUCCUUCAAAAGCUUGCAACACCCAAACGCCCCUUGGACGCAGUGGUAUCACCACCAAUACCCACUUGGCAUCGCAGCAAAAACAUCAAGGCCCUCUUUUCUUUGGAAAAUAAUUAACAAAAACCUACCUCUUCUAAUUGAGCACUCCUUUGUGAUCACCUACAAUGGCCUCUCCACCUUUUUCUGGCUAGAUAAAUGGCUUCUAGAGUCGCCUCUCCACAAAGUUUUCCCUCACCUCUACUCUCACUCCAUUGAUGACAAGGUUUUAGUGGCUAUAGUAUGGCAAACCAGCUUAUUAGCGAACCUUCGGAACCAUCUGUCUAAUGCUGCCGCUCGUGAGUUGGAUUGUGUGCUGUUGCUGUUGCAGGAUUUUCAACAGGUGGACCGAACCGAUGAGCGGUCCCUCACCCAUGGGCUUUCGUUCUCUGCCAAGAACGCCUACUCCACCAUUGUUGCUGACGAUUCCUUCGACCCACACCAUGAUUUUGUCUGGGCGUCCAAGGUUCCGAUCAAGGUCAAGAUCUUCGCAUGGCUUCUCCUCCGUGACCGGCUCAACACAAAAGCAAACAUGUUUCACAAACACAUUGCUCGAUCAGCAGCAUGCCCACGCUGUCAAGAUCCGUUUGAGGAUGCUCUCCUCCUCAUCUCCAACUGCUCUUAUGCGACACAAGUUUGGUCCUCCUUGGGCCUACUUGCCCCGACCUCCCUCGAUGAUCUCCACCAACACCCACAGAUUCAGGGCCUCAACCCCAACAUCUGGCCAUCGGUGGCUUUGACAAUCUGCUGGAAGCUAUGGGAUUCGAGAAACGCUAUCGUUUUCAGGAAUGAUGACCACUCUCUCCGAAUUACACUAAGAAAUAUUGUAGCAGAUUUCUCCCUCUGGGUUUUCCGUUUCAAAAAGCACGAAGACAAUAUCUCUGCUAGGCAAUGGCUAAACUUUCUAUCCGCAGCAAUCCCCCUCUAG
Molecule: ribosomal RNA, 972 nt
Filed under: Triticum aestivum (bread wheat)
Lineage: Eukaryota; Viridiplantae; Streptophyta; Magnoliopsida; Poales; Poaceae
Description: partial small subunit ribosomal RNA
Source: RNAcentral